AACACUGUUAACCUGCGGUACCUGCGGAGGGAUCAUUACCGAAGUUACUCUUCAUACCCUUAUGUGAACCCUACCCCUCGCCGCGCGGUUGCCUCGGCGGGAGGUCGCGGGCUGGGGCUCCGGCCCCUGCCCCCGCGGCCCCCGCCGGCCGCGCCCAACUCUUCUUCUGCAAAGCGGACUGCAAGUUCUGAUUAUAUCUUGAAAAACAAGUCAAAACUUUCAACAAUGGAUCUCAGAUCG
This 240-nucleotide unclassified non-coding RNA is filed under the name soil metagenome. RNAcentral's name for it is "partial contains 5.8S ribosomal RNA, internal transcribed spacer 2, and large subunit ribosomal RNA". The record is from RNAcentral.